RNAcentral lists this ribosomal RNA (651 nucleotides) under uncultured bacterium. Its description in RNAcentral is "bacterial SSU rRNA". The stretch from base 1 to 548 matches the Rfam family "Bacterial small subunit ribosomal RNA", at positions 338 to 873 of the family's 1533-position model. The record is from RNAcentral.
CCUACGGGAGGCAGCAGUGAGGAAUAUUGGACAAUGGGCGCAAGCCUGAUCCAGCCAUGCCGCGUGCAGGAAGACGCAUCUAUGGUGUGUAAACUGCUUUUGUACGGGAAGAAACACUCCCUCGUGAGGGAGCUUGACGGUACCGUAAGAAUAAGGAUCGGCUAACUCCGUGCCAGCAGCCGCGGUAAUACGGAGGAUCCAAGCGUUAUCCGGAAUCAUUGGGUUUAAAGGGUCCGUAGGCGGUUUAAUAAGUCAGUGGUGAAAGCCCAUCGCUCAACGAUGGAACGGCCAUUGAUACUGUUAGACUUGAAUUACUAGGAAGUAACUAGAAUAUGUAGUGUAGCGGUGAAAUGCUUAGAUAUUACAUGGAAUACCAAUUGCGAAGGCAGGUUACUACUAGUGGAUUGACGCUGAUGGACGAAAAGCGUGGGGAGAGACGAGAGUAGUAUACCUACGUAGUCACGACCGAACGAAUAGAGUACUAGACUGUUGGUCGGCGAAGUACUAGUAGGUCGUAAGACGAAAGUAAGAGUAAGUAAGUACCUACCGUACGGGAGGGUACGGUUACGGUCGUAAGAAAGUUAGAAAGUAACGAAAGGAAAGUUAAGUUACGGCGNGAGAGAGCGACGGACGACGACGAGGGAGGAGGAG